This 206-nucleotide non-coding RNA is filed under the name Cajanus cajan (pigeon pea). RNAcentral describes it as "Bacterial large subunit ribosomal RNA". It matches the Rfam family "Bacterial large subunit ribosomal RNA", at positions 629 to 852 of the family's 2925-position model. Lineage: Eukaryota; Viridiplantae; Streptophyta; Magnoliopsida; Fabales; Fabaceae. The record is from Rfam by way of RNAcentral.
GAGUUUUUUGCCCCAGGUUAAGGGUGACCAUCAGGGCCGUAGCGAAAGCGAGUCUUCAUAGGGCAAUUGUCACUUCUUAUGAACCCUGAGUGAUCUAUCCAUGACCUUGGGUGAAACUAAAUGGAGGUUCGAACCAACUGAUGUUGAAAAAUCAACAGAGGAGUUGUGGUUGGGGUGAAAUGUCACUCAAACCCAGAGCUAGCUAG